Molecule: ribosomal RNA, 447 nt
Filed under: uncultured bacterium
Lineage: Bacteria
Description: partial 16S ribosomal RNA
Rfam family: Bacterial small subunit ribosomal RNA
Source: RNAcentral
CCUACGGGUGGCAGCAGUGGGGAAUAUUGGACAAUGGGGGCAACCCUGAUCCAGCGAUGCCGCGUGUGUGAAGAAGGCCUGAGGGUUGUAAAGCACUUUAGUAGGGGAGGAGUAUUAUCUGGUUAAUACCUGGAUAAGAGGACGUUACCCUAAGAAUAAGCACCGGCAAACUCUGUGCCAGCAGCCGCGGUAAUACAGAGGGUGCAAGCGUUAAUCGGAUACACUGGGCGUAAAGGGUACGUAGGUUGGAAGUCCUGGGCUCAACCUGGGGAUGGCAUGGUUGACUGGUUUUCUGGAGUGCAGUAGAGGUAAGGGGAAUUUCCGGUGUAGCGGUGAAAUGCGUAGAGAUCGGGAGGAACACCUGUGGCGAAGGCGCCUUACUGGGCUGUAACUGACACUGAGGUACGAAAGCGUGGGGAGCAAACAGGAUUAGAUACCCGGGUAGUC